This 69-nucleotide transfer RNA is filed under the name Marmota monax (woodchuck). RNAcentral's name for it is "tRNA.Ala". The record is from RNAcentral. Lineage: Eukaryota; Metazoa; Chordata; Mammalia; Rodentia; Sciuridae.
GUUUGUGGCUCAGAGGUAGAGGGCUUGCCUAGCAUGUAUGAGGCCCUGGAUUCGAUCCUCAUCACUACA